GGGUUGUGAGGUUAAGCGACUAAGCGUACACGGUGGAUGCCCUGGCAGUCAGAGGCGAUGAAGGACGUGCUAAUCUGCGAUAAGCGUCGGUAAGGUGAUAUGAACCGUUAUAACCGGCGAUUUCCGAAUGGGGAAACCCAGUGUGAUUCGUCACACUAUCAUUAACUGAAUCCAUAGGUUAAUGAGGCGAACCGGGGGAACUGAAACAUCUAAGUACCCCGAGGAAAAGAAAUCAACCGAGAUUCCCCCAGUAGCGGCGAGCGAACGGGGAGCAGCCCAGAGCCUGAAUCAGUGUGUGUGUUAGUGGAAGCGUCUGGAAAGGCGCGCGAUACAGGGUGACAGCCCCGUACACAAAAAUGCACAUGCUGUGAGCUCGAUGAGUAGGGCGGGACACGUGGUAUCCUGUCUGAAUAUGGGGGGACCAUCCUCCAAGGCUAAAUACUCCUGACUGACCGAUAGUGAACCAGUACCGUGAGGGAAAGGCGAAAAGAACCCCGGCGAGGGGAGUGAAAAAGAACCUGAAACCGUGUACGUACAAGCAGUGGGAGCACAGAGCAAUCUGUGUGACUGCGUACCUUUUGUAUAAUGGGUCAGCGACUUAUAUUCUGUAGCAAGGUUAACCGAAUAGGGGAGCCGAAGGGAAACCGAGUCUUAACUGGGCGUUAAGUUGCAGGGUAUAGACCCGAAACCCGGUGAUCUAGCCAUGGGCAGGUUGAAGGUUGGGUAACACUAACUGGAGGACCGAACCGACUAAUGUUGAAAAAUUAGCGGAUGACUUGUGGCUGGGGGUGAAAGGCCAAUCAAACCGGGAGAUAGCUGGUUCUCCCCGAAAGCUAUUUAGGUAGCGCCUCGUGAAUUCAUCUCCGGGGGUAGAGCACUGUUUCGGCAAGGGGGUCAUCCCGACUUACCAACCCGAUGCAAACUGCGAAUACCGGAGAAUGUUAUCACGGGAGACACACGGCGGGUGCUAACGUCCGUCGUGAAGAGGGAAACAACCCAGACCGCCAGCUAAGGUCCCAAAGUCAUGGUUAAGUGGGAAACGAUGUGGGAAGGCCCAGACAGCCAGGAUGUUGGCUUAGAAGCAGCCAUCAUUUAAAGAAAGCGUAAUAGCUCACUGGUCGAGUCGGCCUGCGCGGAAGAUGUAACGGGGCUAAACCAUGCACCGAAGCUGCGGCAGCGACACUAUGUGUUGUUGGGUAGGGGAGCGUUCUGUAAGCCUGUGAAGGUGUACUGUGAGGUAUGCUGGAGGUAUCAGAAGUGCGAAUGCUGACAUAAGUAACGAUAAAGCGGGUGAAAAGCCCGCUCGCCGGAAGACCAAGGGUUCCUGUCCAACGUUAAUCGGGGCAGGGUGAGUCGACCCCUAAGGCGAGGCCGAAAGGCGUAGUCGAUGGGAAACAGGUUAAUAUUCCUGUACUUGGUGUUACUGCGAAGGGGGGACGGAGAAGGCUAUGUUGGCCGGGCGACGGUUGUCCCGGUUUAAGCGUGUAGGCUGGUUUUCCAGGCAAAUCCGGAAAAUCAAGGCUGAGGCGUGAUGACGAGGCACUACGGUGCUGAAGCAACAAAUGCCCUGCUUCCAGGAAAAGCCUCUAAGCAUCAGGUAACAUCAAAUCGUACCCCAAACCGACACAGGUGGUCAGGUAGAGAAUACCAAGGCGCUUGAGAGAACUCGGGUGAAGGAACUAGGCAAAAUGGUGCCGUAACUUCGGGAGAAGGCACGCUGAUAUGUAGGUGAAGUCCCUCGCGGAUGGAGCUGAAAUCAGUCGAAGAUACCAGCUGGCUGCAACUGUUUAUUAAAAACACAGCACUGUGCAAACACGAAAGUGGACGUAUACGGUGUGACGCCUGCCCGGUGCCGGAAGGUUAAUUGAUGGGGUCAGCGCAAGCGAAGCUCUUGAUCGAAGCCCCGGUAAACGGCGGCCGUAACUAUAACGGUCCUAAGGUAGCGAAAUUCCUUGUCGGGUAAGUUCCGACCUGCACGAAUGGCGUAAUGAUGGCCAGGCUGUCUCCACCCGAGACUCAGUGAAAUUGAACUCGCUGUGAAGAUGCAGUGUACCCGCGGCAAGACGGAAAGACCCCGUGAACCUUUACUAUAGCUUGACACUGAACAUUGAGCCUUGAUGUGUAGGAUAGGUGGGAGGCUUUGAAGUGUGGACGCCAGUCUGCAUGGAGCCGACCUUGAAAUACCACCCUUUAAUGUUUGAUGUUCUAACGUUGACCCGUGAUCCGGGUUGCGGACAGUGUCUGGUGGGUAGUUUGACUGGGGCGGUCUCCUCCUAAAGAGUAACGGAGGAGCACGAAGGUUGGCUAAUCCUGGUCGGACAUCAGGAGGUUAGUGCAAUGGCAUAAGCCAGCUUGACUGCGAGCGUGACGGCGCGAGCAGGUGCGAAAGCAGGUCAUAGUGAUCCGGUGGUUCUGAAUGGAAGGGCCAUCGCUCAACGGAUAAAAGGUACUCCGGGGAUAACAGGCUGAUACCGCCCAAGAGUUCAUAUCGACGGCGGUGUUUGGCACCUCGAUGUCGGCUCAUCACAUCCUGGGGCUGAAGUAGGUCCCAAGGGUAUGGCUGUUCGCCAUUUAAAGUGGUACGCGAGCUGGGUUUAGAACGUCGUGAGACAGUUCGGUCCCUAUCUGCCGUGGGCGCUGGAGAACUGAGGGGGGCUGCUCCUAGUACGAGAGGACCGGAGUGGACGCAUCACUGGUGUUCGGGUUGUCAUGCCAAUGGCACUGCCCGGUAGCUAAAUGCGGAAGAGAUAAGUGCUGAAAGCAUCUAAGCACGAAACUUGCCCCGAGAUGAGUUCUCCCUGACUCCUUGAGAGUCCUGAAGGAACGUUGAAGACGACGACGUUGAUAGGCCGGGUGUGUAAGCGCAGCGAUGCGUUGAGCUAACCGGUACUAAUGAACCGUGAGGCUUAACCUUACAACGCCGAAGCUGUU
Molecule: ribosomal RNA, 2931 nt
Filed under: Escherichia coli
Lineage: Bacteria; Pseudomonadati; Pseudomonadota; Gammaproteobacteria; Enterobacterales; Enterobacteriaceae
Description: 23S ribosomal RNA
Rfam family: Bacterial large subunit ribosomal RNA
Source: RNAcentral